Molecule: ribosomal RNA, 254 nt
Filed under: uncultured bacterium
Lineage: Bacteria
Description: partial 16S ribosomal RNA
Rfam family: Bacterial small subunit ribosomal RNA
Source: RNAcentral
UACGGGGGGAGCAAGCGUUGUUCGGAUUUACUGGGCGUAAAGGGCGCGUAGGCGGCCAGCACAAGUCAGUUGUGAAACCUCCGGGCUUAACUCGGAAAGGUCAACUGAUACUGUGCGGCUAGAGUGCAGAAGGGGCAACUGGAGUUCUCGGUGUAGCGGUGAAAUGCGUAGAUAUCGAGAGGAACACCUGCGGCGAAGGCGGGUUGCUGGGCUGACACUGACGCUGAUGCGCGAAAGCCAGGGGAGCGAACGGG